Molecule: ribosomal RNA, 432 nt
Filed under: uncultured bacterium
Lineage: Bacteria
Description: partial 16S ribosomal RNA
Rfam family: Bacterial small subunit ribosomal RNA
Source: RNAcentral
AACGAACGCUGGCGGCAUGCCUAACACAUGCAAGUCGAACGAGACCUUCGGGUCUAGUGGCGCACGGGUGCGUAACGCGUGGGAACCUGCCCUUAGGUUCGGAAUAACUCCCCGAAAGGGGUGCUAAUACCGGAUAAUGUCUUCGGACCAAAGAUUUAUCGCCUUUGGAUGGGCCCGCGUGGGAUUAGCUAGUUGGUAGGGUAAAAGCCUACCAAGGCGACGAUCCAUAGCUGGUCUGAGAGGAUGAUCAGCCACACUGGGACUGAGACACGGCCCAGACUCCUACGGGAGGCAGCAGUGGGGAAUAUUGGACAAUGGGCGAAAGCCUGAUCCAGCAAUGCCGCGGGAGUGAUGAAGGCCUUAGGGUUGUAAAGCUCUUUUACCCGGGAUGAUAAUGACAGUACCGGGAGAAUAAGCUCCGGCUAACUCCGU